RNAcentral lists this long non-coding RNA (376 nucleotides) under Phasianus colchicus (ring-necked pheasant). RNAcentral's name for it is "lncRNA (ENSPCLG00000012921.1)". The record is from RNAcentral. Lineage: Eukaryota; Metazoa; Chordata; Aves; Galliformes; Phasianidae.
AUUUACACUCAUGAAGGGGAGAGGAAGAGUCUGCCAUGAAAAACAUCAGUUGCUUGUGGUGAGUUGAAGACCAAGAACAAUUCACAGAUAUAUAAUGAAGCAGAAAGAAAGGGAGGAUGACCCCCUGGACAUGUUACCACCAGGUGCUAUGUAAGACAGCCCACGAAACUUGGAAAACUACUGCUAUACAAACAGAAAAAGUUACUGGAUCCAGCAUCUCUGCAACCUACUGGGCUUAAUGCUGUACUAUCCUCUGGCCAUAGCAGAGAGAAGAAACUGUCUGCUGAAGGUGAUCUCAGAGACUGCUUUCUCUGACAGCAUGGUAGACGGAGGUCAAGUUUUCAUGGACUAGCUGGUCUUCUGAGUGGAAUGCUAC